Molecule: long non-coding RNA, 610 nt
Organism: Hipposideros armiger (great roundleaf bat)
Lineage: Eukaryota; Metazoa; Chordata; Mammalia; Chiroptera; Hipposideridae
Exons: 3
Source: RefSeq, a predicted model, not a curated record
CACCCGCCUGGGUCUCAGCCCUCCUCCUGCUCACUCUUCUGGGCUGAUAUCCAGGACUGGGGUGAAAGGCCAGGGUUUCUGGCCCCUUCCGGAGGUGAAGCCCCUUUUCAGGACCAGGAGCAAAGGAAGCCAGAACAAUGCUAUUCAUGGAAAGAUUGGGGAGAGGGAAAGAAGUUUCUUGGCGCAGAUAAGGCUGGAGAAGGUCAAAGAUGAGGAAUGUUCUGUGAUUUCUAAGACAGCCACUCAUUUAUUUCAGAAACACUUGCUCUAAGCCUGAGUCCGGUGAACCUCCGUUUUGUCAUCUGAAGAAUGUUUUGUCAUGAGGGACAGGAGAUGCUACUAUGUGACAAUGUCAAGCACAUCGAGGAUGCUUUGGAAAUAUAGGAUGAAUCGGAAGGCUGCCUCUUAUCCUGGUUUUUGGCUCAGAGCCCAGAAGGAAGGCUCCUUCAAUAAUUCUGAGCUUAGGACAUCUGCCUUUCCCUCAAAGUAAGUGAAUAAAUAUGAAUCUGUUUCUAGUCAGAGCAAAAAUGCUGUUCACCACCUAGUGGCCUGCAAAGAUCACAUCUGCUGCUAAGUUAUACCAGCCUCUGGGUCUAACCCUUCCAGGCCC